Long non-coding RNA from Chiroxiphia lanceolata (lance-tailed manakin), 626 nucleotides. RefSeq lists it as uncharacterized. The record is from RefSeq and is a predicted model, not a curated record. NCBI's taxonomy places the organism in Eukaryota, Metazoa, Chordata, Aves, Passeriformes, Pipridae. The transcript has 4 exons.
AUGGCAUUACUGUUUCCUUCCUGGAAAGAACAUAUGGUGAGUUAGAUGGAGAUAAGACCACGCAAACUUGAGAUCCUCUUUUGAAUGGCUUCUUUUGCAAGCAGACAGAAUGGUGGAGAAUUCCUGUGCUUACAUCUUUCUUUCCAAAAUCCUGUUAGAUGGCCAACUCAGAUGGCUUUUGUAAACCUGGACUAGUGCCUUCAUUUAGACUGUCUAGGCUUUAUGGCCCUAAAUGUGCCACCAGCUCCUUCAUCAGCUGGUUUUCCGGGCUUCCUUGUAAAAAGGACCUAACCACUGAAUCAGCCUGAAUAUGUAUUAAGAUGAGUCAGGCUGAAGAAAUAUGAAUGCUGCCUUUGAAAACUGUAAUAUGAUCUUCAUCUGCCAACAUACCACAAUAUUAGGAGCUUAACAUCACGGUGAAGGACACGAGAAACAAGGAUUAUAUGGAUUUAAAGAUGUUGAGUUCAUCUAGAUAGAAAAACUCCAUGCAGCUCUACAGGUUGGAGGCCAAUGCAACUUUGAAAAAAAAAAGAGACCUGUGGGUCCUAGUGGACAACAAACUGGACAGGAAUCAGCAGUGUGCUCUUGCAAAAAAAGAAGAUUAAACACAUACUGGGUUGUAUUGG